Rhodopseudomonas palustris BisB18 is the source of this 56-nucleotide non-coding RNA. The record is from Rfam. NCBI's taxonomy places the organism in Bacteria, Pseudomonadati, Pseudomonadota, Alphaproteobacteria, Hyphomicrobiales, Nitrobacteraceae.
GUCCCGGACCGGGCCCCUCUGGCAGUUCAUGUGAGCUGUGAUGUCGGACAGGACGU